UAAAAAGAUAUGUUUACUUAGAGAGAGAGAAUACUGAGAGAGAGUCAACCGAUCUCAACCUUUUCUCUGUGCCUUUUUCGUCGUAUGUAUAUGUGGUUUUCGAAGACUCCACAUAGUAUUGCGGGUAUUAUCUUCGUUCUCUCUUUCUUUCAUUCACAGUUUAUCUCUCUCUCUCUACUUUUCUCUUGUCUGAGCAGAAACAAACACUUUUAAGCCUUUUUUCUCUCUACUUAUUCCGCUUUUUGUUGGAGCUUUUUGCAAGUCAAGCAUGCAGAUAGCGAGAUAAGUCUUAAGAGCGGAGAGAGAAGAAGCCCUCAAAAUUAGGGUUUUCUUGAAGCAUUUUUGCUCUCUUUUUCCCUCAUCUUCACAUUGAAUCCGAGAGAGUGAGAGAUUUUUUAGAGAGAGGGAUAGAGAAGGAAGUGUUAAGCAGCAAAAUUAAGGGUCUGUUUUUGCUUGACUUCUUUCUCUUUCUUUCUCUCACUAAAGCAUGUAGAGAGGCACUCGAGACAUUUUGAUUUAAGCAUUGUGUCUCCUCUACCUCCCUGUUACCCGUUUAUAGCUUUUUCUUGAACAUAAUCGCUUAUUUUGCUCGAUUUUCACUUAUUAUCGUCUUCAAGUUCAGUCCAUGAUACAGCAAGUUUUCAUUUUUUUUUAUUUUGUAACGUAAAAAUGGAGUGAUUCUCUCAUGAAUGCAUUUGUUACACACANNN
This 710-nucleotide long non-coding RNA is filed under the name Olea europaea (common olive). Its description in RNAcentral is "long non-coding RNA (OEUR_LNC013834)". The record is from RNAcentral. Lineage: Eukaryota; Viridiplantae; Streptophyta; Magnoliopsida; Lamiales; Oleaceae.